This 492-nucleotide ribosomal RNA is filed under the name uncultured bacterium. RNAcentral describes it as "partial 16S ribosomal RNA". It matches the Rfam family "Bacterial small subunit ribosomal RNA", at positions 29 to 507 of the family's 1533-position model. The record is from RNAcentral.
AGUGAACGCUGGCGGUAGGCCUAACACAUGCAAGUCGAACGGCAGCACAGUAAGAGCUUGCUCUUACGGGUGGCGAGUGGCGGACGGGUGAGGAAUACAUCGGAAUCUACUUUUUCGUGGGGGAUAACGUAGGGAAACUUACGCUAAUACCGCAUAUGACCUACGGGUGAAAGCAGGGGAUCUUCGGACCUUGCGCGAUUGAAUGAGCCGAUGUCGGAUUAGCUAGUUGGCGGGGUAAAGGCCCACCAAGGCAACGAUCCGUAGCUGGUCUGAGAGGAUGAUCCGCCACACUGGAACUGAGACACGGUCCAGACUCCUACGGGAGGCAGCAGUAGGGAAUAUUGGGCAAUGGGCGCAAGCCUGAUCCAGCCAUGCCGCGUGAGUGAAGAAGGCCUUCGGAUUGUAAAGCCCUUUUGUUGGGAAAGAAAAGCAGCAGGUUAAUACCCCGCUGUUCUGACGGUACCCAAAGAAUAAGCACCGGCUAACUUCGUG